AUUGAACGCUGGCGGCAUGCCUUACACAUGCAAGUCGAACGGUAACAGGUCUUUCGGGAUGCUGACGAGUGGCGAACGGGUGAGUAGUACAUCGGAACGUGCCUAGUAGUGGGGGAUAACUACUCGAAAGAGUGGCUAAUACCGCAUGAGAUCUAUGGAUGAAAGCAGGGGACCUUUGGGCCUUGUGCUACUAGAGCGGCCGAUGGCAGAUUAGGUAGUUGGUGGGAUAAAAGCUUACCAAGCCUACGAUCUGUAGCUGGUCUGAGAGGACGAUCAGCCACACUGGGACUGAGACACGGCCCAGACUCCUACGGGAGGCAGCAGUGGGGAAUUUUGGACAAUGGGCGCAAGCCUGAUCCAGCAAUGCCGCGUGCAGGAUGAAGGCCUUCGGGUUGUAAACUGCUUUUGUACGGAACGAAAAGUCUUGGGUUAAUACCCUGGGAUCAUGACGGUACCGUAAGAAUAAGCACCGGCUAACUACGUG
RNAcentral lists this ribosomal RNA (484 nucleotides) under uncultured bacterium. RNAcentral describes it as "partial 16S ribosomal RNA". It matches the Rfam family "Bacterial small subunit ribosomal RNA", at positions 30 to 507 of the family's 1533-position model. The record is from RNAcentral.